Molecule: transfer RNA, 85 nt
Filed under: archaeon
Lineage: Archaea
Also listed under: 3 other names
Description: tRNA-Leu
Rfam family: tRNA
About the family: Transfer RNA (tRNA) molecules are approximately 80 nucleotides in length. Their secondary structure includes four short double-helical elements and three loops (D, anti-codon, and T loops).
Source: RNAcentral
GGAGGGGUAGUCAAGCCUGGCCAAAGACGCGAGACUUAAGAUCUCGUCUCUUAGGGGUUCGUGGGUUCAAAUCCCACCUCCUCCA